GCCCCACCCGGACGCCGCCGCCGCCGCCAUCUUCCCCAAUCCCAGCCUGCCACCACCCGGAACCGGAAACGCCCGCUCCGCCAUUUUGGGAGCUGACGGCGUUCACGUUCACCACGAAGAACACCGGCUCAGCUGCAGCCACAGUAUCCCACGCCCAACCAGGAUUUCCAAAUUCAGCUUUUCGUCUGUUGUACUGCAGCCGAGUUGCGAGCAGUUGUGCUCCUUCAGGACAGCAGCCCUCAGCCUGCCCAGCAGCUAAACGUGCCUGUAACACACACACACUCAGCAGCUACAAUGAAGCAAAAAGCUUAUAAAUGCUGACGGAGCAGUUGACUAACACACGGGUUUGCAUUCCCUUAAGGACCGAGAUUCCAGUCCCACAGCUGCGGUACUUACAGUCACCCAGAUUUCCACGAGGCACGUUGCACUCCUCUCUAAAUAAAUCAGGCUGUUACUCCAAGCCGCUGUUGCUGUCAAGACACCAACAUAUUUUAUUGCAUUGUCAACAUCUAGAAUAUUAUGUGAGUGUGACGUCUCCUUUUCACGAUACAUUCCCAAAUAGAACAUAAAGGAUCCGUGAGACACGCAACUUGUGUUGAAUAAUAGCUAAAUGACCGUCCAAAUGUUUGCAUUUAAGUUGAAUUACUCACACUGAAGAAGCUAAUAGUCUUGAUAAAUAAUCAUUAAUGACACAUGGCCCUAUACAUCUAUGACAAUCUCAUGACUAAGUCACUAAACUAAAACGUAGCACAGCACCCUGCUACUAAAGCCACCAUAAAAUGCUGCAGAGUAACUGUAAAACAAUGAGCCAAACAAAAUUACAAAAUGAAUUUAUUCCAAAAGUGUAAGGGAACAUUUACAAGUCAUCAAGAUGGUCAACAGGUGUCUCCACAAGAACUCACUGCAUUAAAAUUAAAUACGAAAGUGAGGGAGAAAAGCUGGCUGCUUCUGAGGCAACAAGAACUUUGCACGUCAUCUCUGGAAAACAGGAGCCCCGCGAAAACUCACUCCAAACUCAGUGAGAAAAUAAGCUGCUAGUGCCUAAAUAUCAGUCUAAAGGCAAGCAACAUUUAGGCUUGGAGAUCAUAUUUUAAAAUCCCCUCAAGACAGCAAAUGACAGCUACAGGUGCAAAAUGCCUUCCUUCUUUCCUUUAAAUAAAGCUUGUUACUAUCCAGUGACUGUUUUCAGAGUGACGUUUUGACCUCAGGAAUUUGUACUUGAAAAAUUCUUUGCCAAGUUUGUUGCUUUUAGUGACGAAUCUGAUUUCAGCAGCUGGUGUAUAUUCAGAAGUACAAGCUCCCAUGUCCUGGAAUGUCCUAAGUUUAAGCCUGCUGCUCCAGAGUUGAGCACAAAUAGACUCGCAAUUUGGUCAAUAACUCCAACUUUGACAUAAUUUUGGUAUUCUGCCCUUUUGAUUGCAGUGAUAAAUAUCGAACUGUUAAUGAAGACACCCGAGUCAGAUUCACAAACAAAUACAAAUGGAACUAGGUGGCAAAACAUCACUUUUGAGCAUUCAUAUGUGGAUAUCAAAUGAUCGCAGAAAAAAAAGGGACGAUAAGAAAAGAGCGUCAUUCUUCUAAAGCCUAAACUAUUUUACAUCAACAUGCCUUCUUAGAAAUUCUCUUCCCUGCCCCAACUUCUUUUUUUUUUUUUCUUUCCUAUCAGCUAACCCCUUUAUAAUGUUGAGUGACCUGAGAAGUAAAAAUUGCAAGUGGUGAGAAUAAAAAGCAUUGUGCUCUUACAUUGUAUUUUCUGGGUGUACACCAGUAAAUAAGAACUCCAAGUUGCUAUGAAAAAAAAACCCAAUAGCAUGGAUUUGUUCUUCCACUUGAAUCCGACUACACUGCUGGAAUUUUUCAACAUUAGCCAAAAUACAAUUUUAUUUAUAUAUUUUUAAAUGCAACUGUGUUGGUAAAAAGACAAAACAAGAACACAACCUUCGAGUGCCAACUAACCCAGAAAUCUGUAAAACACAGAAAAGAGCCAGGUACUGCUAUGGUCCGGCUCCAGUCUACAAAGCUUAAUCACUGCAUCAGUCUUUACCCAUUCCUGGAAUAUUUCUAGUGAUUUAUUGUUUCGUUUUUCCUGUUCAUUUCCUGUAAUUUCAUGGCAUAAGUAUAUGCACGUAUUCAUAUCAAACAUUUAAAAUUCCUUUUGCAAAACACCACUUUUGCAUUACAAUGCACGGAGAAGAGUAAGAAGUACAAAACAAAAGAACACCACAUUCUCCACAGUUCUAAGUGAAAGGACUCUGCUUCAUGCCACAAGCAAAAUAAAUUUCCAACCAAGUUGCAAACUUCAGAAAACCAGCAUGUCUCAGUCAAAUUCAUUGUAAGUAAAUAAAAGCAAAUCUAACAAUGGUACUCUUCUCCACAUAUUGCAAAAUGUGAUUACAGAUAAGGAAAGGAUUACUUUAGGUGCUAAGCUUAUCUGACAUAUCUCUGUAGUCAUGCCUUUCCUAUCCAUUACUUAAUACAUAAAAUCAAUUACAUAGUAUCAGUAAUGCAGUAGUUGAUUUUUAGGUUAAUAUGCAAACAAUCAAGAUGUAAGUUUUGAUAAAACAUCUACGCUCUUUUCCAAUUUUCAAUAAAUCGUGAAGACACUUCAAAAAUAAGAACCCAAAACUGCUGACUGUAAGCAUCCAAAAAUACAGUUGUAGUUUCACUAUGGACAAGUUGUAGUCCGUUAGAAAAGUAGAUCAUACAUACAAAGGUAUAAAGAACAUUUAAGUCAGUCUGAGCAGAAGGCAGUCCUUGAAGGAAACAAUAUCCAAGCAAUCUCUUGCUGAGUGUACUUUCGCUUUAGCCCACUGGGGCCAGGGAAGGAAGAUACAAUGGUCUACUCAGUAGAUUCUUCCUCGACUACGAUUGCCACGUCCUCCCCAGCCUCUUCCUCGUCCACCCCGGAAACCACCUCUUUGCUC
Molecule: non-coding RNA, 2924 nt
Organism: Coturnix japonica (Japanese quail)
Lineage: Eukaryota; Metazoa; Chordata; Aves; Galliformes; Phasianidae
Source: RefSeq, a predicted model, not a curated record